RNAcentral lists this ribosomal RNA (484 nucleotides) under uncultured bacterium. RNAcentral's name for it is "partial 16S ribosomal RNA". It matches the Rfam family "Bacterial small subunit ribosomal RNA", at positions 30 to 507 of the family's 1533-position model. The record is from RNAcentral.
AUUGAACGCUGGCGGCAGGCCUAACACAUGCAAGUCGAGCGGUAGAGAGAAGCUUGCUUCUCUUGAGAGCGGCGGACGGGUGAGUAAUGCCUAGGAAUCUGCCUGGUAGUGGGGGAUAACGUUCGGAAACGGACGCUAAUACCGCAUACGUCCUACGGGAGAAAGCAGGGGACCUUCGGGCCUUGCGCUAUCAGAUGAGCCUAGGUCGGAUUAGCUAGUUGGUGGGGUAAUGGCUCACCAAGGCGACGAUCCGUAACUGGUCUGAGAGGAUGAUCAGUCACACUGGAGCUGAGACACGGUCCAGACUCCUACGGGAGGCAGCAGUGGGGAAUAUUGGACAAUGGGCGAAAGCCUGAUCCAGCCAUGCCGCGUGUGUGAAGAAGGUCUUCGGAUUGUAAAGCACUUUAAGUUGGGAGGAAGGGCAGUAAAUUAAUACUUUGCUGUUUUGACGUUACCGACAGAAUAAGCACCGGCUAACUCUGUG